Molecule: ribosomal RNA, 342 nt
Filed under: Triticum aestivum (bread wheat)
Lineage: Eukaryota; Viridiplantae; Streptophyta; Magnoliopsida; Poales; Poaceae
Description: partial small subunit ribosomal RNA
Source: RNAcentral
AUGAUCGAAAAUCUGAGCAAAAGAGUGUUUGCGGUCUCAGCUGUUCUCUAUCAAGGCAUGGUCCCAGAGAUCUACACUUCACCUCAGCAAAUGUCUGGAUGCCACUAUAUUAGAUGUCUUUGCUGGAUGCCCGUUGCUCAGGAGAUAAACGAGCAUGUGGACGAGCCGCAGAGCCGAACAACCAUAAUGACAGCAAUGAGAAAUCUUGCAUGGAGAUCGGCGUGCAGGUUACCUGGGUAUGGAUCUGUGGCAUUUUUUGGACUCCGAUACCGGUCUGUUGGCUAUAUUUGGAAGAAGCCGAAGCUUGAAUUGGUUGUAUUGGGGCAGUACACAUCACGGUGA